UUUCCAGACUCCUACGGGAGGCAGCAGUGGGGAAUAUUGGGCAAUGGGCGCAAGCCUGACCCAGCAAUGCCGCGUGAAGGAAGAAGGCCUUCGGGUUGUAAACUUCUUUUAUCAGGGACGAAGGAUGUGACGGUACCUGAUGAAUAAGCUCCGGCUAACUACGUGCCAGCAGCCGCGGUAAUACGUAGGGAGCAAGCGUUAUCCGGAUUUACUGGGUGUAAAGGGCGUGCAGCCGGAGAGACAAGUCAGAUGUGAAAUCCACGGGCUCAACCCGUGAACUGCAUUUGAAACUGUUUCCCUUGAGUGUCGGAGAGGUAAUCGGAAUUCCUUGUGUAGCGGUGAAAUGCGUAGAUAUAAGGAAGAACACCAGUGGCGAAGGCGGAUUACUGGACGAUAACUGACGGUGAGGCGCGAAAGCGUGGGGAGCAAACAGGAUUAGAUACCCCCGUAA
Molecule: ribosomal RNA, 451 nt
Filed under: uncultured bacterium
Lineage: Bacteria
Description: partial 16S ribosomal RNA
Rfam family: Bacterial small subunit ribosomal RNA
Source: RNAcentral